This 440-nucleotide ribosomal RNA is filed under the name uncultured bacterium. RNAcentral's name for it is "partial 16S ribosomal RNA". It matches the Rfam family "Bacterial small subunit ribosomal RNA", at positions 338 to 795 of the family's 1533-position model. The record is from RNAcentral.
CCUACGGGAGGCAGCAGUGGGGAAUUUUGCACAAUGGGCGAAACCCUGAUGCAGCGACGCCGCGUGAGUGAAGAAGUAUUUCGGUAUGUAAAGCUCUAUCAGCAGGGAAGAAAAUGACGGUACCUGACUAAGAAGCCCCGGCUAACUACGUGCCAGCCGCCGCGGUAAUACGUAGGGGGCAAGCGUUAUCCGGAUUUACUGGGUGUAAAGGGAGCGUAGACGGCAGCGCAAGUCUGAAGUGAAAUGCCGGGGCUGAACGCCGGAACUGCAUUGGAAACUGUGCAGCUAGAGUGCAGGAGAGGUAAGGGGAAUUCCUGGUGUAGCGGUGAAAUGCGUAGAUAUUAGGAGGAACACCAGUGGCGAAGGCGGCUUACUGGACUGUAACUGACGUUGAGGCUCGAAAGCGUGGGGAGCAAACAGGAUUAGAUACCCCAGUAGUC